AAAAAAUGCAUCAUUUCUCCACAGGGCAUAGCUAUUCCUGUGGACUAAUGGAUUUAUUCAGGCAGGAAGUUAAUCUAUCAUUUAAGGAAAAUGAAUUCAUUUUAUCCACAAGAACAUGAAGUGAUGGAAAUAAUUUGCACCUGCCCAGCAUUCCUAGGCCUACAGUCUAUCAUUGGAUUUGAAAAGAAAUGUUUAUUUAAUAAAUUUUCUAGAUAAACAAAAUAAUUUGACUUUUUAAUUUAUUUACUGUUCAUGUGUUGAAAAGGCCAUUAAGAUUUGAAAAUCUUAACUUGCAUACUAUUUUGUGUGGAGGGUACUAAUGUCCAUAAAGAUCUUAUUUCCAGCAUGUGCAUUGUGUUCAUUUAUUUUUUAAUAAUAUUUAAAAAAAAAACCCAGAAGACUAGCUA
This is a long non-coding RNA of Saccostrea cuccullata (small rock oyster), 407 nucleotides long. RefSeq lists it as uncharacterized. The transcript is spliced from 3 exons. Lineage: Eukaryota; Metazoa; Mollusca; Bivalvia; Ostreida; Ostreidae. The record is from RefSeq and is a predicted model, not a curated record.